This 253-nucleotide ribosomal RNA is filed under the name uncultured bacterium. RNAcentral's name for it is "partial 16S ribosomal RNA". It matches the Rfam family "Bacterial small subunit ribosomal RNA", at positions 524 to 776 of the family's 1533-position model. The record is from RNAcentral.
UACGGGGGGGGCAAGCGUUGUUCGGAAUUACUGGGCGUAAAGGGCUCGUAGGCGGCCAACUAAGUCAGACGUGAAAUCCCUCGGCUUAACCGGGGAACUGCGUCUGAUACUGGAUGGCUUGAGUUUGGGAGAGGGAUGCGGAAUUCCAGGUGUAGCGGUGAAAUGCGUAGAUAUCUGGAGGAACACCGGUGGCGAAGGCGGCACUCUGGGCCGGUACUGACGCUGAGGAGCGAAAGCGUGGGGAGCGAACAGG